AGAGCAGCAGCGCGCAAUUACCCACUCCCGGCACGGGGAGGUAGUGACGAAAAAUAACGAUACGGGACUCAUCCGAGGCCCCGUAAUCGGAAUGAGUACACUUUAAAACCUUUAACGAGUAUCCAUUGGAGGGCAAGUCUGGUGCCAGCAGCCGCGGUAAUUCCAGCUCCAAUAGCGUAUAUUAAAGUUGUUGCGGUUAAAAAGCUCGUAGUUGGAUUUGUGUCCCACGCUGUCGGUUCACCGUUCGUCGGUGUUUAACUGGCAUGCCUGUGCGGACGUCCUGCCGGUGGAUGCGGUCGGCCGUGGGCCUCUGGUCUGCGCGUCGGCGGUCCGAUUCAAUCCUACCGCGGUGCUCUUCACCGAGUGUCGAGGUGGGCCGGCACGUUUACUUUGAACAAAUUAGAGUGCUCAAAGCAGGCAGUGGUUCGCCUGAAUAUUGUGUGCAUGGAAUAAUGGAAUAGGACCUCGGUUCUAUUUUGUUGGUUUUCGGAACUUGAGGUAAUGAUUAAUAGGGACAGACGGGGGCAUUCGUAUUGCGACGUUAGAGGUGAAAUUCUUGGAUCGUCGCANGACGAACCUAAGCGAAAGCAUUUGCCACGAGUGUUUUCAUUAAUCAAGAACGAAAGUUAGAGGUUCGAAGGCGAUCAGAUACCGCCCUAGUUCUAACCAUAAACGAUGCCAGCUAGCGAUCCGCCGAAGUUCCUCCGAUGACUCGGCGGGCAGCUUCCGGGAAACCAAAGCUUUUGGGUUCCGGGGGAAGUAUGGUUGCAAAGCUGAAACUUAAAGGAAUUGACGGAAGGGCACCACCAGGAGUGGAGCCUGCGGCUUAAUUUGACUCAACACGGGAAACCUCACCAGGCCCGGACACCGGAAGGAUUGACAGAUUGAGAGCUCUUUCUUGAUUCGGUGGGUGGUGGUGCAUGGCCGUUCUUAGUUGGUGGAGCGAUUUGUCUGGU
Molecule: ribosomal RNA, 956 nt
Filed under: Aretaon muscosus
Lineage: Eukaryota; Metazoa; Arthropoda; Insecta; Phasmatodea; Heteropterygidae
Description: SSU rRNA
Rfam family: Eukaryotic small subunit ribosomal RNA
Source: RNAcentral